GUGGACUAGGGUGAAGCAGACGGGGUAAGACGUGGGGAGCAAGCGGUGGCCGGAUUUAUUGGGCGGAAAGAGAGUGUAGGCGGCCUGGAAGGUAAGCUGUGAAAACUCGAGGCUCAACCGCGAGACGUCGGGUGAAACCACCGGGCUAGAGUCCGGAAGAGGAGGGUGGAAUUCCCGGUGUAGCGGUGAAAUGCGCAGAUAUCGGGAAGAACACCCGUGGCGAAGGCGGCACUCUGGGACGGUACUGACGCUGAGACGCGAAAGCGUGGGGAGCGAACAGGAUUAGAUACCCCAGUAGUC
This 300-nucleotide ribosomal RNA is filed under the name uncultured Lactobacillus sp. RNAcentral's name for it is "bacterial SSU rRNA". It matches the Rfam family "Bacterial small subunit ribosomal RNA", at positions 496 to 795 of the family's 1533-position model. The record is from RNAcentral. Lineage: Bacteria; Bacillati; Bacillota; Bacilli; Lactobacillales; Lactobacillaceae.